CGUCGGGGAAGAAAAUGACUGUACCCGAAUAAGAAGGUCCGGCUAACUUCGUGCCAGCAGCCGCGGUAAUACGAAGGGACCUAGCGUAGUUCGGAAUUACUGGGCUUAAAGAGUUCGUAGGUGGUUAAAAAAGUUGGUGGUGAAAUCCCAGAGCUUAACUCUGGAACUGCCAUCAAAACUUUUCAGCUAGAGUAUGAUAGAGGAAAGCAGAAUUUCUAGUGUAGAGGUGAAAUUCGUAGAUAUUAGAAAGAAUACCAAUUGCGAAGGCAGCUUUCUGGAUCAUUACUGACACUGAGGAACGAAAGCAUGGGUAGCGAAGAGGAUUAGAUACCCUCGUAGUCCAUGCCGUAAACGAUGUGUGUUAGACGUUGGAAAUUUAUUUUCAGUGUCGCAGCGAAAGCAAUAAACACACCGCCUGGGGAGUACGACCGCAAGGUUAAAACUCAAAUGAAUUGACGGGGACCCGCACAAGUAGUGGAGCAUGUGGUUUAAUUCGAAGAUACGCGCAGAACCUUACCAACACUUGACAUGUUCGUCGCGACUCUAAGAGAUUAGAGUUUUCGGUUCGGCCGGACGAAACACAGGUGCUGCAUGGCUGUCGUCAGCUCGUGUCGUGAGAUGUUGGGUUAAGUCCCGCAACGAGCGCAACCCUCACUUUUAGUUGCCAUCAUUAAGUUGGGCACUCUGAAAGAACUGCCAGUGAUAAGCUGGAGGAAGGUGGGGAUGACGUCAAGUCCUCAUGGCCCUUACGUGUUGGGCUACACAC
RNAcentral lists this ribosomal RNA (766 nucleotides) under Ketobacter sp. RNAcentral describes it as "bacterial SSU rRNA". It matches the Rfam family "Bacterial small subunit ribosomal RNA", at positions 437 to 1221 of the family's 1533-position model. The record is from RNAcentral. Lineage: Bacteria; Pseudomonadati; Pseudomonadota; Gammaproteobacteria; Pseudomonadales; Ketobacteraceae.